Non-coding RNA from Nothobranchius furzeri (turquoise killifish), 2122 nucleotides. The record is from RefSeq and is a predicted model, not a curated record. Lineage: Eukaryota; Metazoa; Chordata; Actinopteri; Cyprinodontiformes; Nothobranchiidae.
AGGCGCAAAUAAAAGACAGAAAACAUUAAAGGAAAUGAACCGACAUGAACGAUCGCGUGUCAGUAGCUAAGGUCCGGCACAGCGCGUUGCUGAUCACAGAGAAUGUGAUCAUACGAUAAUUCAAUAGGGAGCGUGGUUUCACAGACGCGGAAGUGAGAGCGUCGGUGAAACGCCGGCUGCUCUAGGAAACCCCCGAGCCUUCGAGUGUCAACGAAGUGACACGGAAAUGCCGGGCUUUCCAGAAGUAAGUAAGAUAACUUACUAUGAGCUGAUAGUUCGUUGGAUUGAUUGGUAGGUUGGAAACUCUGAUCAUGAAUCUGAAGAAACGAUGACUGAGUGGUGAGCUGGAAAGGCGACUUCCGUUUGGUUUAUAGCCGCGGUUUGUGACGUAGGUGCGACGUGGAGGGAAUCCCCGCGAGGGGCAUGCUGGGAGUCCCUACUUCGCGGAUUUUCACCUAUCGCGGCCAGGUCUGGAACGCAUCUACCGCGAUAAACGAGGGAUUACUGUAGUUCAUACACCCCCUACUGCUGCUCUCCAGAGUGUUCUGCAGUGUAAUCAGCACGUUCUCUUUGAACUUGAUAGUGUAAUGACCUGGCUGGGGUUGUAAGCCAGGUGCAUUCUGGGUAUUGUGUUAUAUGUGUUUCCUAUCGUCCUGCUAGUUCCUAUGUGCUGAUUUGCGUGUUGUGUGAGUGUUAUGUAAGCCACAGGGAAGGUGAUGUGUGUUCUGUGGAGCGGGUUGAAUUAGCAUGGUUAACUGACACCGUGACUCUGUGUGGUAGGAGCAUGAUAGAGGAUCAUGUCUGUAGCGUUACAAAGCGUUGAAAAAAAGCCUAAUAAAGGUUUGCGUGAACCCCUACUGCCUCCUGCUGGUUGAUUUGGGAACUAUAACCCUGCCGCUGGGACGCUCGUACUUGUUUGUUACCACAUUCCAUCCGGCCACAAUAAGAGACCGGCCAUUAUUUACCUCCGCUGACUCUGACACCGGCCAAAAUUGGAGACCCGGCCUUUAAUUGAAUACCGGCCUGUAUUAGAGGAUUUACGGUAAAUAAUCUUUAAUAUUUAAAUUUUCUCCUAAGUCCCUCCCCUGCCCUGUAGAGCUCAGCCAAUAUUUCUGCAAGCCUAACGCGUUGACUAAUAGCGCUGCACUACCACCAGGGGGCAGCUGUCAAUCAUCGAGAACGAGCAUUAGAUCUCAGCGUGCACAAGCACAACAGUGUCACGCGCCUCACUCGGCUCACUGUUUCGUGAUCUACGCGGCCUGAAAACGGUUGAAGUUGGCAAAGUAUCCUUUGGAGUGGUAUGAAAAUUUGGAGGAGGUGAUGGAACAAGGUGAAACUGAAAAUGAAGGAUCUUCACAAAUGGCAAGUACAUCAAAGAGAACACAUGGUCACCAGAGAACCAGAAGUUGAUUCGUCUUCAGAGGAGGACAAAACCAUCUAGAUGGACAGCGGUACUGAUGACGGCGGUGAUGAGGACUACACACCUUAUAUACACAUAAGAUACCAUAAAAUAUUCAACAAAAAAUCUAGAUGCUGGAGGCUGUAUUCUGAGAAGGUGGCAAAAGACUACUCCUACAUCCCAGAGAUCCAAACCAUGAUCGUCAGCCAACGUUUGACAAGCAAGAAAGGUCUUCCUCGACGCUACAAGCUAAGGCCUGAGGAUCCAAGGCGUUACGGUUUGCUGUCCGGAGUCCCUGCACCAUCAACAGAGGAACUUCUACAACACCUAAGGACUCGCGGUGAUGGUAAAAUAAAACAUUAUCUGCCUUACAUCUUCCACACAAUAGUCCAUUGCUGAUUGAGUUUAUUUUUUAUUUACAGGUAAAACUUUGCCACAGACUUAGGUGUUGGGGGAGACAAGAGAAAACCCAAAACCUUCUUUAUUUUUGUUUCCUGUGUUUGUUUGUUUUUUGUUUGAAAAUAAAGAUAUAUUUUGGGGAAAUAAGGACUAAUAAUUAAAAAAUGUAUGUAAAAUGCUGGAGGUAGACAUACGUUUUUGUUGUUGUGCAGGAGUUUUAAAAUUUAUGGUAUUUUUACAAAUGCAACAGAGAGUUAUGCUUUAGAACACUUUAUUAGAGCAUCAAACAAAAAUAUAUAAAAACAAACUGAUGUAAAAUAUUAA